UACGUAGGGUCCGAGCGUUGUCCGGAAUUAUUGGGCGUAAAGGGCUCGUAGGCGGUUUGUCGCGUCGGGAGUGAAAACUCAGGGCUCAACCCUGAGCGUGCUUCCGAUACGGGCAGACUAGAGGUAUGCAGGGGAGAACGGAAUUCCUGGUGUAGCGGUGAAAUGCGCAGAUAUCAGGAAGAACACCCGUGGCUAAGGCGGUUCUCUAGUACGGUACUGACGCUGAGACGCGAAAGCGUGGGGAGCGAACAGG
Molecule: ribosomal RNA, 253 nt
Filed under: uncultured bacterium
Lineage: Bacteria
Description: partial 16S ribosomal RNA
Rfam family: Bacterial small subunit ribosomal RNA
Source: RNAcentral